AGGUCUUAUAAAAUCCAAUCUCGAGUGUUUGAAAGGCUUUUCACAGACUUCCGUGACUGCCUGAAUCAUGCGGAGUACUGUGAUCUUUUGUCAUGUGCCAAGCAAAAGUUUCAACCUAUACCAUCUGCAUGGUUGGGUUACUAGCUUUGCAGCUGGAGUACUGUGAUCUUUUGGCAUGUGCCAAGCAAAAAUUUCAACCUGUACCAUCUGCAUGGUUGGGUUACUAGCUUUGCAGCAUACGCGUAAAAGUGUGUACAGAAUGCAAGUCUACUGCACACAAAUAAAAAAGAAAAAAAAGGGUCCUCCCUUGACAUGCUUAAGACUAAUUGCAGAUAGUGCAAGCGUCUAUUCUGUUCCUGAUCGGUAUGUAAUCUUGCAAGACAUGUAAAUAGAACGUGACAGAGUGACAAGACUAUGAAUUCUAAAUGCAUAUUGUAAAGGUUUAUGUUCGAAAUGAAUGUGCUUUCAACCUACAUCAUGAUCAUGGAAUGCACAAGAGAAUGAGUAACUUGAGUCGAUUAGUCAGUUGUGAUAAUACUUCAUUUAUUACAAACCUAAUGCAGCUUUCCUAAUAUCUUAUAGGAGUAAAUAUUAAAGCUAUUAAUAUUUCAUUUUUUUUCAAUUGUGGCGAGC
RNAcentral lists this long non-coding RNA (633 nucleotides) under Nicotiana benthamiana. Its description in RNAcentral is "long non-coding RNA (NBEN_LNC018737)". Lineage: Eukaryota; Viridiplantae; Streptophyta; Magnoliopsida; Solanales; Solanaceae. The record is from RNAcentral.